GAGCCGGAAAUAUCCGAAUGGGGCAACCCUAAAUACUACCUGUUGAAUAUAUAGACAGGAAAGAGCCAACCCAGCGAACUGAAACAUCUUAGUAGCUGGAGGAAGAGAAAUCAAAACAGAGAUUCCCUCAGUAGUGGUGAGCGAAAGGGGAAGAGCCUAAACCAAAGGAUUUAUCUUUUGGGGUAGUGGGACAGCAAUAUCGAAUCUGGAGACUAGACGAAACAGCUAAAUACUGUACCAGAGGGGGUGAAAGUCCCGUAGUCGAAAGUCAAAGGAUAGUAGCUGCAUCCCGAGUAGUACGGAGCACGAGGAAUUCCGUAUGAAUCAGCGAGGACCACCUCGUAAGGCUAAAUACUACUGUGUGACCGAUAGAGAACAAGUACCGCGAGGGAAAGGUGAAAAGAACCCCGGAAGGGGAGUGAAAUAGAACAUGAAACCAUAAGCUUACAAGCAGUGGGAGUCCGAUUAAACGGAUGACCGCGUGCCUGUUGAAGAAUGAGCCGGCGACUUAUAGGCACUGGUAGGUUAAAGCGAGAAUGCUGGAGCCAAAGGGAAACCGAGUCUGAAGAGGGCGAAAAUCAGUGUUUAUAGACCCGAACCCUGGUGAUCUAACCAUGUCCAGGAUGAAGCUUGGGUAACACCAAGUGGAGGUCCGAACCGACUGAUGUUGAAAAAUCAGCGGAUGAGGUGUGGUUAGGGGUGAAAUACCAAUCGAACCAGGAGCUAGCUGGUUCUCCCCGAAAUGUGUUGAGGCGCAGCGGUUGUGAUUAAAUCUGGGGGGUAAAGCACUGUUUCGGUGCGGGCUGGGAGACCGGUACCAAAUCGAGACAAACUCAGAAUACCCAGAGAACACACAGCCAGUGAGACAGUGGGGGAUAAGCUUCAUUGUCAAGAGGGAAACAGCCCAGACCACCAGCUAAGGUCCCCAAAUCAUCACUAAGUGAUAAAGGAGGUGAGAAUGCCUAGACAACUAGGAGGUUUGCCUAGAAGCAGCCACCCUUGAAAGAGUGCGUAAUAGCUCACUAGUCAAGCGUUCUUGCGCCGAAAAUGAACGGGGCUAAGUGAUGUACCGAAGCUGUGGGAUUACUAAUCAUAAUCGGUAGGGGAGCGUUCCGUAGUAGGGAGAAGCAGUAGCGGCAAGCAGCUGUGGACGAAACGGAAGUGAGAAUGUCGGCUUGAGUAGCGCAAAUGUAUGUGAGAAUCAUACACCCCGAAACCCUAAGGGUUCCAGAGCCAGGUUCGUCCACUCUGGGUUAGUCGGGACCUAAGGCGAGGCCGAAAGGCGUAGUCGAUGGACAAAGUGUCAAUAGUCACUUACUGUUCU
Molecule: ribosomal RNA, 1324 nt
Filed under: Dolichospermum planctonicum
Lineage: Bacteria; Bacillati; Cyanobacteriota; Cyanophyceae; Nostocales; Aphanizomenonaceae
Description: partial 23S ribosomal RNA
Rfam family: Bacterial large subunit ribosomal RNA
Source: RNAcentral